GGCUGUGGGGGCGAUCUGGCUGCAACAUCUGUCACCCCAUUGAUCGCCAGCGUUGAUUCGGCUGAUCUGGCUGGCUAGGCGGGUGUCCCCUUCCUCCCUCACCACUCCAUGUGCGUUCUCCCGAAGCUGUGCGCUCGGUCGAAGAGGACGACCAUCCCCGAUAGAGGAGGACCGUUCUUCGGUCAAGGGUAAAUGAGUAGCUGUGCUCCCCUGCUAGAACCUUCAAACAAGCUCUCGAGAAUUGGGAAGGCAUGUGAGAAAACACAGCAGAAGCCAACUAUC
Unclassified non-coding RNA from Tupaia belangeri (northern tree shrew), 282 nucleotides. Its record names the gene 7SK. It matches the Rfam family "7SK RNA". From Rfam's summary of the family: 7SK was discovered as an abundant small nuclear RNA in the mid-70s but a possible function has only recently been suggested. The record is from Ensembl. NCBI's taxonomy places the organism in Eukaryota, Metazoa, Chordata, Mammalia, Scandentia, Tupaiidae.